RNAcentral lists this small RNA (598 nucleotides) under Pan troglodytes (chimpanzee). RNAcentral describes it as "processed transcript". Lineage: Eukaryota; Metazoa; Chordata; Mammalia; Primates; Hominidae. The record is from RNAcentral.
GACAGUCUGUGCAGACAUCUCGGGAAGUCCCCACCUUCCUCUUGGUCCUCUGACUCUGCCCACCUCCUUCCUUUUGUCCCCUGCUGCCAAUGUCAUCCUCUCCAAUUCCGCUCCCUCUCCUCCCCAGCCCUCACCUUGGAGCCUCCCGUGAGGGGCCUUGCUUGCUCUUGAUUUUGUGACUGUGAUCAUCUCUGCCCCAUGUACACGUUUUAUUUCCCAUGUGAGACUGCUCAGAUACUUUUCUGUCUUCUCCUUGCAUCCUCUGAAAGCACUGGACACAGUGCCAGACACACUGGAGAAUGGGGGCGACAUGCUCUACCUGAAAGAUCUUAACACCCAGGCUGUGAGAUUUGGGCUGCUCUUUAACCAGGAGAAUACAACUUAUUCGAAAACGAUUGCUCUAUAUGGAUUCUUCUUUAAGAUAAAGGGACUCAAACAUGAUACUACCUCUUAUAGUUUUUACAUGCAGAGAAUAAAGCACACAGACCUGGAAUCCCCCUCCGCGGUCUACGAGCACAACCCCAUCAGCCUGCGAGCGGCACGCCUGGUGAAGUAUGAGAUCAGAGCAGAGGCCCUGGUUGACGGCAAGUGGCAGGAG